GUCACUAUAGUUUAAUAAAAACAUUAGAAUGUGGACCUAAAAAUAGAAGUUAAACCCUUCUUAAUGACC
RNAcentral lists this transfer RNA (69 nucleotides) under Oligosoma grande. Its description in RNAcentral is "tRNA-His". It matches the Rfam family "tRNA". Rfam says of the family: Transfer RNA (tRNA) molecules are approximately 80 nucleotides in length. Their secondary structure includes four short double-helical elements and three loops (D, anti-codon, and T loops). The record is from RNAcentral. Lineage: Eukaryota; Metazoa; Chordata; Lepidosauria; Squamata; Scincidae.